Molecule: ribosomal RNA, 1966 nt
Filed under: metagenomes
Description: bacterial LSU rRNA
Rfam family: Bacterial large subunit ribosomal RNA
Source: RNAcentral
UUAAGCUACUAAGAGCAUAAGGUGAAUGACUUGGCACCAAGAGCCGAAGAAAGACGUGAUAAGCUGCGAUAAGCAACGGGGAGAAGCAAAUAUUCCGUGAUCCGUUGAUUUCUGAAUGGGGAAACCCAACUAGAGAAAAAAGUCUAGUUACCCAUACAUAAGUAAAGUAGUGUAUGAGGAGGGAACGUAGGGAACUGAAACAUCUUAGUACCUACAGGAAAAGAAAGAAAAAUCGAUUCCUUGAGUAGUGGCGAGCGAAAGAGGAAGAGCCUAAACCUAUGGUAGUAAUACCGUAGGGGUUCGGACUACAUAAUCGAUCUAACAAGUUUAACAGAAUUGCUUGGAAAGGCAGACCAUAGAUAGUGAAAGUCUAGUAUGUGAAAAAUGAGUUAGCGAGGUAGUAUCCAGAGUAGUGCAAGACACGUGAAAUCUUGUAUGAAUGAGCGGGGACCAUCCCGUAAGGCUAAAUACUACUUGGUGACCGAUAGUGGAGCAGUACCGUGAGGGAAAGUUGAAAAGAACCCCGGGAGGGGAGUGAAAAGAACCUGAAACCUUAUGUUUACAAGCAGACAAAGCACGUUAAAGUGCGAUGUCGUACUUUUUGUAGAACGGUCCGGCGAGUUAUUGUAUAUGGCAAGGUUAAGUACUAAUAAGGUAUGGAGCCGAAGUGAAAACGAGUCUGAAAAGGGCGACUUAAGUCAUAUAUAAUAGACCCGAAACUGAGUGACCUAUCCAUGGUCAGGAUGAAGCUUGAGUAAAAUCAAGUGGAGGUCCGAACUGAUUGUCGUUAAAAAGGCACCGGAUGAACUGUGGAUAGCGGAGAAAUUCCAAUCGAACUCAGAGAUAGCUGGUUCUCCUCGAAAUAGCUUUAGGGCUAGCCUUGAGGUAAAAGAUUCAUGGGGGUAGAGCACUGAAGGAGCUAGGGGCCUAAACCAGGUUACUGAACUCUAUCAAACUCCGAAUACCGUGAAUUGUUUCUCAGGAGUCAGACUGCGGGAGCUAAGUUCCGUGGUCAAAAGGGAAAGAGCCCAGAUCGUCAAUUAAGGUCCCAAAGAAAUAGCUAAGUGGAAAACGAUGUGAUUUUGCGUAAACAACCAGGAUGUUGGCUUAGAAGCAGCCAUUCAUUCAAAGAGUGCGUAAUAGCUCACUGGUCGAGUGAAGUUGCGCGGAAAAUUACCGGGGCUAAGCUAUUCACCGAAAUUGCGAAUUUAUGUAGAAAUACAUAAGUGGUAGAGGAGCAUUCUAUAGUAGGACGAAGGUAGACCGAAAGGACUGCUGGACGAGAUAGAAGAGAGAAUGCCGGAAUAAGUAGCGAGAGCAAGGUGAGAAUCCUUGCCGUCGAAAGUCUCAGGUUUCCUGGGGAAGGUUCGUCCGCCCAGGGUAAGUCGGGACCUAAGGUGAGGCCGAAAGGCGUAGCCGAUGGAUAGCAGGCAAAAAAUUCCUGCACUAUAGAUAUACAAUAAAAAGCGCAUGUGACACAGUAGAGGAAGAUAAGCGAGGAAGAGGAAAAACUCGUACCGCAAGGUAUAGUGAAAAAUAAAAGUAACGAAUUAUCAAGAAUCACACUGGCAAGAAAAGCAUGUGAGUCUAGUAUAUAAAUACCCGUACCGCAAACCGACACAGGUAGAUGAGGAGAGGAUCCUAAGACGAACGGGAGAAGCAUUGUUAAGGAACUCGGCAAAAUGACCCCGUAACUUCGGAAGAAGGGGUGCUGGUGUAAAAGCCAGUCGCAGAGAAGAGUCCCAAGCAACUGUUUAACAAAAACAUAGGUUUCUGCUAAAUCGAAAGAUGAAGUAUAGGAGCUGACGCCUGCCCAGUGCUGGAAGGUUAAGGGAAAGAGUUAGGAGUAAUCCGAAGCCCUGAACUGAAGCCCCAGUGAACGGCGGCCGUAACUAUAACGGUCCUAAGGUAGCGAAAUUCCUUGUCAGGUAAGUUCUGACCCGCACGAAAGGCGUAAUGAUUUGGG